RNAcentral lists this unclassified non-coding RNA (336 nucleotides) under soil metagenome. Its description in RNAcentral is "partial contains 5.8S ribosomal RNA, internal transcribed spacer 2, and large subunit ribosomal RNA". The stretch from base 1 to 120 matches the Rfam family "5.8S ribosomal RNA", at positions 35 to 154 of the family's 154-position model. The record is from RNAcentral.
GAUGAAGAACGUAGCGAAAUGCGAUAAGUAAUGCGAAUUGCAGAAUUCAGUGAAUCAUCGAAUCUUUGAACGCACAUUGCGCCCCCUGGUAUUCCGGGGGGCAUGCCUGUCCGAGCGUCAUUGCAACCUUCAAGCGCGGCUUGUGUGUUGGGUCUCGUCCCCCGUGGACGGGCCCGAAAGGCAGUGGCGGCGUCCCGACAUGGUGCCCGAGCGUAUGGGAAUCCUCUUCCGCUCGAAUCGGCCCAUGCGGCGCUGGUCGUAACCAAAUUUUUUACCGGUUGACCUCGGAUCAGGUAGGGAUACCCGCUGAACUUAAGCAUAUCAAUAAGCGGAGGA